CCCGACAUCGCUGCCUCUCCUGCACCUGACGGUGGGAUAAUGCCUCACCCAAUAAAUGUAGACGUGGUCGGCUCCAUCUGUGAUUUCUAAACAGCCAGAGGGAGCAAGAUGGAAUGGUCGCAGUGGUUCCCAACCCUGGUCCUCAGGUGUUGCACAUGCCUAAUAUGGAUGCUUAUUUAUGGUCAGAAGAGGGACCAGGACAACACCAGGCAAACCGGCUGUGCAGUCAUUCAUACCAAAACUACUGCCUAACUUACUGCACAUGAUGGGAAACACCAAGCACCCUCCCUCCCCCACCACCCCUCUGUGUUGGUCUAUACAAGAUGGAUGGCUGCACGUUCAGACACACAACUCCAUCGGAGCAGCUUUAAUUGGACAUUUAAGACACGUGUCAAUGCAAUCAGUUUUUAAGGAAUAUGAUGAUUAAUUUGCGGRCGGAUCAACGUGAGGCUGUCUGCAGCUGGCUCUGUGCACGGCCUUGUGGUUCUGCUCUGCAGCCCAUCCAUCCCUGCUGCAGCUGCAACACAAGCACAGCCUCCUCUUCAGAAUCGCAGGACUGCAAAACAUCACCCACAAUCCCCUCCCUCUCGCUCUGUCUCCCAUUCCCUUCCACAUAAGUUGCCCGUUAUGUGACAAAUCUACACCCACACCAAGCCUGGGUGACCCGAUCGCAGCGGUUCAAAAUGUGUUAUUUAGUCAAGCUCCYCAGUUUCCCCUCCCGAGGUGAAUUCAGCCCACAGAGGAGUGCCAAAAUAGGUGACAAGCAAGCAAGGCGGGUGCACCAGUUGGGAAAAUAGAGAAGAAAAUAAAU
Long non-coding RNA from Austrofundulus limnaeus, 811 nucleotides. RefSeq lists it as uncharacterized. The record is from RefSeq and is a predicted model, not a curated record. The transcript is spliced from 3 exons. NCBI's taxonomy places the organism in Eukaryota, Metazoa, Chordata, Actinopteri, Cyprinodontiformes, Rivulidae.